GGGGGCGUUCCGGUUUCGACGGGAAUGCCAAGGCUCAGGCCGCACGUCGUGGAUGUCGUUGACCACGUUAAUACCAAUGGCGCUAUUUAUAAUCGCCAACGAUUAUAACUACGCUGUCGCAGCUUAAUUAGCUGACAGCCGUGCCACCUGUCUUCUCCUGCUGGACGGGAUGGGGCGCAAUAUUCGCGGGAUAGCCGAAGAGAGUCGCCUGCUGGCUCUUAGGCGAAACUAAAGGCAGGCUGGCGCUUAUCCCGCCUGUUUCCGGGCUAAGGAUAAGGGCGAGACUUUAUACGGAACUAAACGUGUAGAAACCUGAUGUUCAGGAUUUUCGGACAGGGGUUCGACUCCCCUCGCCUCCACCA
RNAcentral lists this transfer-messenger RNA (362 nucleotides) under Nitrospinota. RNAcentral describes it as "DRJW01 sp011052055 Standard tmRNA". It matches the Rfam family "transfer-messenger RNA". From Rfam's summary of the family: Bacterial tmRNA, also known as 10Sa RNA or SsrA, is named for its dual tRNA and mRNA-like properties. Lineage: Bacteria; Pseudomonadati. RNAcentral also lists the same sequence under 2 other names. The record is from RNAcentral.